GUUAAGCGACUAAGCGUACACGGUGGAUGCCCUGGCAGUCAGAGGCGAUGAAGGACGUGCUAAUCUGCGAUAAGCGUCGGUAAGGUGAUAUGAACCGUUAUAACCGGCGAUUUCCGAAUGGGGAAACCCAGUGUGUUUCGACACACUAUCAUUAACUGAAUCCAUAGGUUAAUGAGGCGAACCGGGGGAACUGAAACAUCUAAGUACCCCGAGGAAAAGAAAUCAACCGAGAUUCCCCCAGUAGCGGCGAGCGAACGGGGAGCAGCCCAGAGCCUGAAUCAGUGUGUGUGUUAGUGGAAGCGUCUGGAAAGGCGCGCGAUACAGGGUGACAGCCCCGUACACAAAAAUGCACAUGCUGUGAGCUCGAUGAGUAGGGCGGGACACGUGGUAUCCUGUCUGAAUAUGGGGGGACCAUCCUCCAAGGCUAAAUACUCCUGACUGACCGAUAGUGAACCAGUACCGUGAGGGAAAGGCGAAAAGAACCCCGGCGAGGGGAGUGAAAAAGAACCUGAAACCGUGUACGUACAAGCAGUGGGAGCACGCUUAGGCGUGUGACUGCGUACCUUUUGUAUAAUGGGUCAGCGACUUAUAUUCUGUAGCAAGGUUAACCGAAUAGGGGAGCCGAAGGGAAACCGAGUCUUAACUGGGCGUUAAGUUGCAGGGUAUAGACCCGAAACCCGGUGAUCUAGCCAUGGGCAGGUUGAAGGUUGGGUAACACUAACUGGAGGACCGAACCGACUAAUGUUGAAAAAUUAGCGGAUGACUUGUGGCUGGGGGUGAAAGGCCAAUCAAACCGGGAGAUAGCUGGUUCUCCCCGAAAGCUAUUUAGGUAGCGCCUCGUGAAUUCAUCUCCGGGGGUAGAGCACUGUUUCGGCAAGGGGGUCAUCCCGACUUACCAACCCGAUGCAAACUGCGAAUACCGGAGAAUGUUAUCACGGGAGACACACGGCGGGUGCUAACGUCCGUCGUGAAGAGGGAAACAACCCAGACCGCCAGCUAAGGUCCCAAAGUCAUGGUUAAGUGGGAAACGAUGUGGGAAGGCCCAGACAGCCAGGAUGUUGGCUUAGAAGCAGCCAUCAUUUAAAGAAAGCGUAAUAGCUCACUGGUCGAGUCGGCCUGCGCGGAAGAUGUAACGGGGCUAAACCAUGCACCGAAGCUGCGGCAGCGACACUAUGUGUUGUUGGGUAGGGGAGCGUUCUGUAAG
This 1204-nucleotide ribosomal RNA is filed under the name Escherichia coli. RNAcentral describes it as "partial 23S ribosomal RNA". It matches the Rfam family "Bacterial large subunit ribosomal RNA", at positions 1 to 1247 of the family's 2925-position model. The record is from RNAcentral. Lineage: Bacteria; Pseudomonadati; Pseudomonadota; Gammaproteobacteria; Enterobacterales; Enterobacteriaceae.